Drosophila arizonae is the source of this 836-nucleotide long non-coding RNA. NCBI's taxonomy places the organism in Eukaryota, Metazoa, Arthropoda, Insecta, Diptera, Drosophilidae. The record is from RefSeq and is a predicted model, not a curated record.
AGAUGCUGGUCUAUAAGCGCGAAAAUCGUAGAAUGUUGAUUACUUUUGUAGUCUGGGCGAUUGUCUGCUGCUGUAUCUGUAUGGAAACAGCCAAGGCAGAGGAAAUGGCUAUAGUACUGAGACCCAAGCCGACGGGUGCCAUUCAGAUGUAUCUCGAUCAACUAGACGAAACCAAGAAGAAAAACGAACGCCGUUUAAACAAAGCAGGCAAAAUGAAUAAUCAAAUUAAUUCUCUCAAGACAAUGCUAAUCGAAGCGAACAAGCGUAUUAAAGGGCUAAAAGCACAGCUGGCCAGAAUGAGUAAAGCGAAUUAACUACCUCAAUACAAACAUAAACACAAUAAAUUAACCUAUAAGUUCACAUCGAUUUCAGCCAUAAACUAGCUCAGCUAAAUUCAUCCGAUUGUAUUGCAUUUUAUCUAAACUCCAAGAGAUCUAUAGUUCCGAUUUGGCAUUUAGCUCAGCUCUAUAUGUUACGUUCAAUACGUUUCAAUAUAUCAUUCUGCAGAAUCUAAGGUUGAUGCGAUUCCAACUGUUCAGAAGGCUUUUCGAAUUAAUUAGUUCAACUUGAUUACCGGUAGUAAAAUUUAAUUGCUCUAUUAUGAGAGAGUUUUUAACAAGCCCGGCUAUUCAGUUCUAUUUGCAAUUUCGACUACGUAAGUCUAUAAGAAUUGGACCUAUAAAAUGUUCAAGGAUUUCAUAGUCUGGUCAUUUGUAUUCUCCAUGAUUUUUGUGAACGCAACAAAAGAAGCACAUGAAAUAGACAAAGCUGAUAUAUACUUGGCCAAAGUGGACAGCAGGAAGGAACAUUGGCUGCAAAGAAAAGUCACUUUACUU